Long non-coding RNA from Callithrix jacchus (white-tufted-ear marmoset), 1285 nucleotides. RefSeq lists it as uncharacterized. The record is from RefSeq and is a predicted model, not a curated record. NCBI's taxonomy places the organism in Eukaryota, Metazoa, Chordata, Mammalia, Primates, Cebidae.
UGAACAGGCAGGCAAAGAGCUGGGCACGGGGCCCCGACACCACCGCCACCAGCGGCACCAUCUUCAGGCAGGAUCAGGCUGGAAGGGAAGAGACAGGGCUGUGAGUGCCAAGUCUCUACUAUACACAUAACAUUUUAAUUAUGGAUACUGGCUUGGCAUGGUGGCUCACAUCUGUAAUCCCAGCACUUUAGGAGGCGGAGAUGGGAGGAUCACCUGAGCCCAGGAGUUUGAGACCAGCAUGGACAACAUGAGGAAACCCAUCAAAAAAAAAUUAGCCAGGCAUGAUGGUGCACACCUGUAGUCCCAGCUACUAGAGGCUGAAGUGGAAGGAUCGCCUGAGCCUGGGAGGUCAAGUCUGCAGUGAUCCAUAAUGUCACCAUUGUACUCCAGCCUGAGGACAAAGAAAGACCCUGUCUCGAAAUUGAUUGAGUGCCUCCUUCAAAGAUCGGAAUGAAUGCUUUGAUGUGACUGCAGUCUAACUGGAGAAGAAAGCCCUGUGGAUUGAAAGACAAGGCAGCUGACUGGGCAUCCCCUACUUUCAUCACCGGCCCCUGGUUCCAGACCCAGUCUGGACAAGUCUUUGGGACUUCAUACCUUUCCACUGCAGCCCUUCCUGGACAAACAAUACAGUCUGCCUGUGUCAAAAGCUUGCUAAUCUUACAUCACGUGACGUGGUUUGAGAGCAGCUAGGGCACCCGGCAGAGUUCAAACUGAGCUGCUGGCUAAGUAAGAAUUAUUCAGAUCGUUCUUAAUGAAAGAUCCACCAAGCCAAGGGUUGUCAACAACCCUUCAGCUAUUUUUGCUUUUGAGGACACCGUGUGUCUUUGACUUCCAACUGUUUUUUCUCAAGCCUAGGGUAGGCUGGGCCCACUCUGCUUUGAGUUUCAAUAACCAGAGGGCCAACCUUUAACCGAUCACCUUUGCAGAACACUUCCAAAAUCAAAGAGAAAAACAGACAACAAAGAGUCUCCAGCUCUUGUCGCCCAUCCUGUUCCUCCUGCCAGACCCAGCCCAAGCUUACUUACUAUGAGAUGUCAGUACUGAUCUCUAUAGCUUCCAGUCUCAGGACACGAGCGAGCACUACGUACAGUACAGGUCAGGCUUACACCUGGUGCCCAGGUGGAGGGACUGCUGGAAAACUCCUCCUCCUCAGCUAGAUCCUCCCACUUGGGCUUUCUGGGAGUAUUUAAUUAAGUCAGCCCUAAUGCUAUCAUCAGUUAUUCAUGCCUCUUACGUAAAUAUUUUCUUGUUUCAAAUCCAGAAGAUAGAAUUUGGUAGGAAAACU